GGGGGCUCGCGUGUCUAAAUCAAUUUUUUUAUUAAUAUAGGAUUUCUCUAUAUUUUUCUGUAAAUUAACUUUAUCUUAUACUUAAUAGAAAAAUGAAAUAAAAAAAUGGGGUCACCGUUCAUUUACGCUCACAAUCAGACUCCGAAAAAAGCAUACCUUUUUGUUAUUGUCCUUUUUUUCUGUUGAACUAAUAGGAGAAAUAGCGGUAAUAUCGAAAUAACAAAAGAACUAAAUUACAGAAAUCGCUUAAAUUUUAGUAUUAUUUACCUUAUAUACAGCUUAUUCGAAAACAGCAAUAAAAAAUAUAGGUCACCGAUGAGUUAAAAGAGACAUUUCAAUUUUAAUACGAAAAAAUGGCAUUUUUGCACCAAAAGGGAGAUAAUUUUGAGCUUUUUUAAUGAUAUCUAUGCAUUUUUAAAGUCACCUUGGGCCAACACGAAUUGAUUUUUGGGAAUGAUUUUUGUACUAUAUGAUAAAGUAACAACUACUUGAGGCAAUAAAAAACAUUUGUAAUAAAAAAUUAAUGUUUAAUUUUUUUCUGAAAAUCUAAUACCCGCGAGCCUCCUUAAGGAGUUAUUGCCCUUUAUAGUCAUUUUUUACCAGUUUUCGUAAAUUUUUGUAAUUUUCUACAAAAAUCUUCUCCUCUGAAACUACUGGGCCAAAUUUGAUCAAACUUAGCCACAAUCAUUAUUAGGGUAUCUAGUUUACAAAAUGUGUGCAACGACCCGGCCAACCACCCAAGAUGGCCGCCAUAACUAAAAACAGAAUGAGGGGUAAAAUGUAGAUUUUGGCUUAUAACUUUGAAACCAAAGCAUUUAAAGCAAAUGUGACAAGCAGUUAAAUUGUUUAUCAAGUUAGUAUCUAUCUGCCCUGACAUUUUCAGAUGAAUUGGACAACUGAUUGUUGGGUUGCUGUCCCCC
This 920-nucleotide long non-coding RNA is filed under the name Mytilus galloprovincialis (Mediterranean mussel). The record is from RNAcentral. Lineage: Eukaryota; Metazoa; Mollusca; Bivalvia; Mytilida; Mytilidae.